UGAGGAAUAUUGGUCAAUGGGCGCGAGCCUGAACCAGCCAAGUAGCGUGAAGGAUGAAGGUCCUACGGAUUGUAAACUUCUUUUAUAAGGGAAUAAAGUCACCCACGUGUGGGUGUUUGUAUGUACCUUAUGAAUAAGCAUCGGCUAACUCCGUGCCAGCAGCCGCGGUAAUACGGAGGAUGCGAGCGUUAUCCGGAUUUAUUGGGUUUAAAGGGAGCGUAGACGGGUCGUUAAGUCAGCUGUGAAAGUUUGAGGCUCAACCUUAAAAUUGCAGUUGAUACUGGCGUCCUUGAGUACGGUUGAGGCAGGCGGAAUUCGUGGUGUAGCGGUGAAAUGCUUAGAUAUCACGAAGAACCCCGAUUGCGAAGGCAGCCUGCUAAACCGCCACUGACGUUGAGGCUCGAAAGUGUGGGUAUCAAACAGGAUUAGAUACCCUGGUAGUCCACACGGUAAACGAUGGAUACUCGCUGUUGGCGAUAGACUGUCAGCGGCUUAGCGAAAGCGUUAAGUAUCCCACCUGGGGAGUACGCCGGCAACGGUGAAACUCAAAGGAAUUGACGGGGGCCCGCACAAGCGGAGGAACAUGUGGUUUAAUUCGAUGAUACGCGAGGAACCUUACCCGGGCUUGAAUUGCAGACGAAUUGCUUGGAAACAGGCAAGCCGCAAGGCGUCUGUGAAGGUGCUGCAUGGUUGUCGUCAGCUCGUGCCGUGAGGUGUCGGCUUAAGUGCCAUAACGAGCGCAACCCUCGUGUCCAGUUACUAGCAGGUUAUGCUGAGGACUCUGGACAGACUGCCAUCGUAAGAUGUGAGGAAGGUGGGGAUGACGUCAAAUCAGCACGGCCCUUACGUCCGGGGCUACACACGUGUUACAAUGGGGGGUACAGCAGGCAGCUACCGGGCGACCGGAUGCCAAUCCCGAAAGCCUCUCUCAGUUCGGACUGGAGUCUGCAACCCGACUCCACGAAGCUGGAUUCGCUAGUAAUCGCGCAUCAGCCACGGCGCGGUGAAUACGUUCCC
RNAcentral lists this ribosomal RNA (1017 nucleotides) under uncultured bacterium. RNAcentral's name for it is "bacterial SSU rRNA". It matches the Rfam family "Bacterial small subunit ribosomal RNA", at positions 355 to 1375 of the family's 1533-position model. The record is from RNAcentral.